RNAcentral lists this long non-coding RNA (5553 nucleotides) under Sus scrofa (pig). RNAcentral describes it as "lncRNA (ENSSSCG00035017993.1)". The record is from RNAcentral. Lineage: Eukaryota; Metazoa; Chordata; Mammalia; Artiodactyla; Suidae.
AACCUGAGUGUCCAAAGAUACUAUCAGGUUGAUAUCCUGCUGAUAAAUGUCCUCUGAAAGAAGAAAUUUCACAGUAUUCUCUUAAUAGAACACACAAAAGAGUUACCAGAGUUAUAGGGAAGAGAAAAAAACUUAACUGAAAGCAAGACUUGAGACUCCUCUUGGACUCUUAUCUUUAAGAAUAUAGGUUGUCUCUGUCUUACGAGCAUCCAGUUUAGGGUCAUUCCAUAUACAUAUCACACAAGUAGUUUGGCUUGGUAGGGGCAGUAGGAAGGAAACAUUUAGAAACAAAAUGAGCCAGAUCAUAACAGGAGCAUAGAAACAACAGACUCCUAUCAAGUAUAGAAAGGAAUAUAGACAAAUUUUUAGCAGUGGGGAGUCAAGUACCACAUAUUUUGUAAGAAGAAGUGAGUUAGCAUGACUUAAGUACCAUUCCAUACAAACUGGAAUUUGGGCCAGAACUCCAGAUUCCAGGAGAAUUGUAGAGAGGAAGAUAAAAAUCUCAGCAUCAAGGGAGCCAGGGUAGGGAUCAGACACAGGGAAACAGCACAAUAAUAUUUCCAGAGGCAGUAAGAAUAUCUUAGUCAUUUUGGGGGGUUCCAUUUUCUAGCUCAGUGCCUGAUGUGCAGGAAGUGAAUUUGAAACUGCCGAUCACUCUUUCUUGAACAUUGACUCUUGUUGGUUUAUAUGGCAUUACUCUUUUCUUCAACUCUAGUCCUGCCUUUUUAGCCUCCUGUGAAGGUUCCUUCUCACCACAUACAGGAAAUCUCUGUAAAUGUCUCACUGGUACCUCAAAUUCAGUGCAUCCAAAAUACACUCACUCCCAUCUUCAAACCUGAGCCUUUUCCUCUGUUCACUGCCUCAGUGAAUGGCACCAUCCAUCUUCCCCAAAACUUGAAUCACUAGUUGGAUGGCAGCUUUUCCUCUUUCAUCUCUCUUACCAUCUACAUUCAAGAAGCAAAUCCAGUUGAUUUAAUCUUCUGAAUAGCUUUUAAAACUACUGCCUCCCCCUUUUUUUCUAUAGUGACUGCCACUUCCCUAAUCAGGCCACCAUGACCUUUGACUAAUAUUAUUGCACAAUCUACUAAAUAAUCUCCUGGUUUCCAGCUUUGCUAUCAUUCAUUGCAUUCCUCCUACUGCAGCCAGGCUAUCUUUAGAAACAUAAAUCUAAUUAUGUCUUUUCUUUGAUGAAAUCCUUCAAUUCUCUAUUAGUUUAGGUUCCCACAUUUAAGAAUAAAGUUCUGAUUUCUUGAAGUGAUUAUAAGACUCUUCUUGAUUUGGCUCCUGAUUACUUCUCCAGUCUUUUCUUUCCCCUGCUUGUUCCUUUAUAUAAUUUCCACUCAGUUUCAACUUCAGUCUAGAAGAAGACUGAUACUAUGCUGUCUAUAGAAACUUCAGUCUUUUGCAAAUUUUUCUCUCUGUCCUGAAUACUCUUUCCCUCUUGGUCUGGCUAGCACCUACUCAGCUUGUAGGUCAUCCUUGAAUAACACCUCUUCUAGAACAUGCUCCAUGUUUAAAUACCCAGUCAUAGAACUUGUCAGAGUUCAAAUACAUUCUUAUAUUAUGUAUCAGAAUGUAAUCUGCAUAAGGGAAGAAAUGAUCUGCCUGCCUUACUUACCAUCAUAUUCACAGGGCAUAGCACUAAGGGAUUUCCCGCUGUGGCUCAAUGGUAAUGAACCCGACUUGUAUCCAUGAGGACACAGGUUCAAUCCCUGGCCCUGUUCAGUGGGUUAGGGAUCCAGCAUUGCUGUGAUCUAUGGUGUAGGUUGCAGAUGUGCCUUGGAUCCCAUGUUGCUGUGGCUGUGGUGUAGACCAGCAACUGCAGUUCCCAUUCAACCUCUGGCCUGGGAACUUUCAUAUGCUAUAGGUGUGGCCCUAAAAAGCAAACAAACAAACAAAAAGAGUCCUAGAAGAACACUGUGGUGAUGGAUUAAGAAAGGUUGAAAAUUCUUUGACAUUCUUCUCAUGGAAAGGUGGAGGGCUGUUUCUUCUCCUUUUGAAUCUGGGUGGGCCUGUGUCAAUUUGACAGGUAGAAUAUGCUAGAUGGGAUGUUCUGCUGGUUUGCACUUAGCAUUUGAAGAAUAAGCAGCUUUACUAUAUUCCUUUGAAGUCCUGAGAUGCCAUGUGAGAAGCCUAACUGCACUGUUGGAGGAGGGUAGAGAGGCUCUGGAACUACAAGAAGAGAAAGAGGGACCCAGCUGAGUCCAGCCUUGCAGAUGUUCUUGCCUAGGUUUCAGGCACAUGACUGAAGUCCUCAGGGAUCUUCCAGAAUGCAGGAAACCAAGCUAUCAGGCAAAAGUGAUCCCAGUAGACUUUAAGUGAGCAGAAAAAAAUUGCUCUGUAGAAACUUACCCAAAUCCUUGACCACCAGAAUCAUGAGACACAAUAGAGUGGUUUUUAUUCAUAGUCAGCUUACAGUCAGUAAUUUUGGGGGUGGCUUGUUAUACAGCAAUAGAUAACCAGAGCAUUCGAUGCUUCCUUCUUAUUGGCUGUUAGAGAUGCAAAGUAGGGAAGGGAUUUUUCUGGAUCCUGCCGUGUUGCAGUAGCUCUGGCUUUAGGCUUGAAGCUGGGAUGGGGAGAUGUGUGCUUGGAGUCCUGAGUCUCAGCUCAGAGUCCAUUUUCCCCUAGCAUCAAUUUAUUUUGCAGAUGGGUUUCCAGACCAGCCUUCAAAAACCCACUAAGCUCACAUACGUUUUGAAUAAUUACUUUUCCAGCUCACACAAACAAAUAUUUGGAACCUGACCUAUUUGGAAACUGGGAAUUGACUGGGAAGAAAGAAGCUCAUAUCUGUUAAGAAGUGGCAAAAAUUACAGUCAGCAAAAAUUACAGUCAGGGUUAUGACUUAGAGUCAAGCCUGCAGAAAGAGAUUGACAGUUAAAGUGGUGCUGGUGGGAAGAGAAUGAUGGAAGCUACAGAUACCUGUACUUGCUACUUGUUUCAUUCCAGCCCAGAUUUGGGGGGCAAUCACUCCCCUAGGGAGAGUAACUAUAAUGGCUAAAGGGAUCUGUAUUGGUUGGUCAUUUGUUUGAGCCUACUAUGGUUCUGGUAUACCAACUCCUGAUUACUCAUGCCUCAACUUCCUGUGCCAAGUCAUUUGCAUGGAAACCCAGUUCCCAAAGAGCAAACCUGAGAUACCUGCUGUCACAUAUCUCUUAUUUAUCUCGGUCCUCAGUAGUUUCUCUGAUUUGUAGAGCUCUGGAAAUUACUUGACCUACUUUCAUUUACAGCAUCAUCCCAAGUUUUGGACUUUCCCUCUCUCGUCCUUUCACUGUCUUUUCCUCUCUAGUCAUUACCACCAACUCCCCAAGUGGCCAAAAGUGUAAAUCUCCAGUUGGUCCCACAUGACAGUGUGCCUAAGGCUUCUACUCAACUGUGUUCCCAGAUCUCACCCUUUUUAUUUUAGUCAAGAUUAUCUCAGUUGUAAGAGAUGCACAUCCAACUGCAUCCUAUUUAAUCUUUAAUCUAAAAAGGGGGGAUUUAUUAUCUUUUUUUCCCCCAGCAGAAGGAAUGGGACCAUCCUCUAGGGAAACUGGAUCAUGGGUGAGAUCUACAAGAUUAUUCCCUGAUCUCCAACAUCUGCUCUUUUUCAUUUCCUUUUGGUUUAAAUGUGUCAGGAAACAAAGCUACAGAUUUAAGGACUUAUAUCCUUUUGUUAGGAAACCAGAGAAGGAAGAAAAGUUUCCUUGCUAGGAUUCCUGCAUGUGCCCAAACCAGAGCAAUGAUGGCAGGGUAAGGCACUUUGGCUGCGUCAGCCCAGCUCUUUGUCCAGCCCUGUGAUGAGAUAGGGGGCUGUUACCAAGCACAGGCUUCCCCAGAGGCAGUGCCUGUUAACUAAGGAGACAUCCCAAGUUGCAGGGGCAGCUCUUGCAUGAUCCUCUGGGUCAACUGAGACUGUCGUUGGUGAGUGACCAGAGGAGGAACAGGUGAGAGAGACUGUGGAGCACUGAGGAGUGAACAUGGGAGAUCAGGAACAGAACUAGAUAGGAGUUUGCCCACCUGAACACAUGCUCAAGUUCAGGGAAAAUGGGGCAAAUGAGAAGAGCAGCAUGGCCUUUUCUCAGAGAGGCCCAGAUCUUGACCAUAUGGCCAUUUGUAGAGAUUUGUUAUAAUGUUAUAAGCAUUUGAAGACUGGACAGACUUGAAAUUGAGUUGUUUAUUGCUGGUAUUAGAACAGUCAUUUCCUACAGGUAAUUCUGUUUUAUGUGAACUGUGUUUGUACACCUAUAUUUUACCCCAAGGAUAAUAGCUGGACUUCCUUUGAGCUGUUAGCAGACUCAAGAAGGAGGGCUCUGACUUGAAAUGGAACAUAAAUGAAGAUGAAUAUGUUUUCUUUUUUUUUUAGCCAAAAGUAGUUAAAGAGAUGAAAAAUUGUUUUAAAAUAACUGUGAAAUAAUGAAGGGGAGGCAAACAUUAAAAAACUCUCUUUUUAUAAGAAGGAAAUUAAAUAUGUUGAAUGGAUAGCCUAAUUACCUUAUUUAAGAAUAUCUUUUUCACUAAGAAAAUCAAAUGAAUAUAUUUAAAUGAAAUAGCAGUUGAGAAGUGCAAAAUAGCUUUAAAAACCAGAAAACAAAGAUACAUAAUUUUGCAAUGAAUUAGAAUACUUUUAUCUACUAUUUAGAUAAUUUGUGUAUUGCCUUACUAAAUUGAUUGUCUAGAAUAUCCUCACCACUGAAACUUAACAGUCUUCUAGGUCUUUACUGGUAAGAUGAUUGAGUUUGGAAAUCAUCUAUAGAAUCUUAGAAUUGUGCUAUGUUUGUACCUAUUAAGACAAAUCUUGCUUUGCAAACAGAUUAUUCUAAAACAAGUUCCUCUUGUUUCCUAUCUUAAUUUUUAUUCUAAAUCAAGUAAAUAAAACUGAGAUUUGACAUGAGAAAAUAUUCUUUUUGUGAAAGUAUUUUUGUUUUCACAGAAGGCAGGGGCUCCAGAGUUGGAUGUUUCUCACAAAAUCUGACUUAGUAUUCAUUGAUCUCUCCUAUAUUUAUGACAAAUUGACUUUCCAGAGAAGCUUGGAUUUUGAAUGUGUAGUUCCAGUAAGUGCAUUCAUCCAGGUUAGACUGUGAGUCCAGAAAAAAAUGGACAUUACACGCAGGCAGUAAGAGUAGUGUAGAUUUUACCAAUUUUUCCUUGAAAAGCUUAGUUCAAAUUGGCUGGAAUGGGAAAACUGUCACACGGUGAAAGGUGAUUUAAAGAACACAAGAAACAUGUUUAAAAUGGAUGCAACAGUUAGAACCUAAGCCACAUCUAAAAUUCAGUUGAUUAAAAUGCAGAUUGGACUAGAGAAAAAUCAUUGUAAAUAGUGAUUCUCAAUGGGUGAGAAACUCAUACAUCAGUCAUCCUGAAAGGGGCGCAUGUCGAAAGGUUAACUAAAAAUAUCUGUGCGUGUACUGGACAUUUUUUUUUUUUUAAAGCCUCGUGGAAACAGGUGAUGAAAGGCAAUAAGAAGGCAAAGUGUUUGGACUGCUUAUAAGGAAGCAGCCUCUUCUGAUGCUGUCAAGGGAUAACAACCUGGUAAAGGGUAACUGCUGUGAUGCAAAGCCACCUCCUGAGAUGGCU